RNAcentral lists this ribosomal RNA (207 nucleotides) under uncultured bacterium. Its description in RNAcentral is "partial 16S ribosomal RNA". It matches the Rfam family "Bacterial small subunit ribosomal RNA", at positions 568 to 774 of the family's 1533-position model. The record is from RNAcentral.
AGUGUAGGUGGCCAGGCAAGUCAGAAGUGAAAGCCCGGGGCUCAACCCCGGGACUGCUUUUGAAACUGCAGGGCUAGAGUGCAGGAGGGGCAAGUGGAAUUCCUAGUGUAGCGGUGAAAUGCGUAGAUAUUAGGAGGAACACCAGUGGCGAAGGCGGCUUGCUGGACUGUAACUGACACUGAGGCUCGAAAGCGUGGGGGGCAAACA